GGACCCGUAGCUCAGUUGGUUAGAGCGUCCGCCUGUCACGCGGAAGGUCAGGGGUUCGAGUCCCCCCGGGUCCGCCA
RNAcentral lists this transfer RNA (77 nucleotides) under Patescibacteria group bacterium. Its description in RNAcentral is "tRNA-Asp". It matches the Rfam family "tRNA". From Rfam's summary of the family: Transfer RNA (tRNA) molecules are approximately 80 nucleotides in length. Their secondary structure includes four short double-helical elements and three loops (D, anti-codon, and T loops). The record is from RNAcentral.